UACAGAGGUCUCAAGCGUUGUUCGGAUUCAUUGGGCGUAAAGGGUGCGUAGGCGGCGCGGUAAGUCGGGUGUGAAAUCUCGGAGCUUAACUCCGAAACUGCAUUCGAUACUGCCGUGCUUGAGGACUGGAGAGGAGACUGGAAUUUACGGUGUAGCGGUGAAAUGCGUAGAUAUCAGGAGGAACACCGAUGGCGAAGGCAGGUCUCUGGGCCGAUACUGACGCUGAGGAGCGAAAGCGUGGGGAGCGAACAGG
This 253-nucleotide ribosomal RNA is filed under the name uncultured bacterium. Its description in RNAcentral is "partial 16S ribosomal RNA". It matches the Rfam family "Bacterial small subunit ribosomal RNA", at positions 524 to 776 of the family's 1533-position model. The record is from RNAcentral.